UGAAACAAAUUUGGGAAGGAGAAUCUCUGUUAGUUAGUGAUAAAAAAAUAAAUAAAAAUCUCUUUUAGUUUCUCUCCUGAGUUGUGUAGAGAAAAUUCAAGAGACCCAAGAGUUAUGAACCAAACCAGAGAAAUAAGAAAGAAAGAUAGAUCUAUUCUUUCCUUAAUUUUUUUUUUGGGGGUUUUUCACUCGAUUUCAAAUCUAAUGCGAAUUUCUUAUUUCUAAAAAACUUCUGAUACUCUUUAAAAUCUGAAAUUGAAUGAGAUAAGAUGAUUCACAAAGCCAAUAUUUGGAAAUCAAGUUGGUGGCAAUGGACAGAAAACUAGCUAGGGUUUAAUUUGCAGCUUUUGGUAUGGUGAGCAGUAUCAACUGAGAUUCGAAAGAAAUGAAUGAAAGGAAGAAAUCGAUCAAUGAUGUUGAUUAAGAUCAAUAUAUCAUUGAUACCUCUUUUCAGGAUUAUAAACAGCCGAAAGGUUCUGGGACAUCAGAACUUGGUGAUGGGAUGUGUCGACCAGUUAGUCUGCAUGUUUAAGGUGAACUCUUGCAUAUGACAUUUUCUGUUCUACUGUUAGGUUAAAUUAUUUGCACCCAUUUUCAAUUAAAAUGAGUUAUUUCAAAGAAAUUCAUAGUUCUUAUUGCCGAAGUUUGAAUACUCUUUAGUGGUUAUAUAUACUUUGUUAUAUAUGUUCAUGAAAACCCAUAUUUUAGAGAUUUACCAUGUAAUUCUAUUUUAGAAUGUGAUUCAUAUGGGAAGAUCAUUAAGGCCCUCAAAACAAUGUAUUUCAAUUGACGGAAUUGAAAAAUUAAAAUACUCAACAGAAUUUUUGAUGUCCUUUUAUAGUUAGAUAUAUAGAGUCAUCUGAGGUUAGGAUAGUCUUAAAUUCUUGCUCACUUAGUAGUUUAGCCCUAUAGAGAUAAAACACUUGAUGCGUCCAUUGAAAACACGAAGCAGGUUCCAAUCACCACACCAGUGUACUGAUAUAUAGAAUCACCCGGGCAACAAUCAGGUGUAUAUAUAUCUUACCUCUACUUGCUUAUAAAUGAAGAUGCAUCAUGGGACCAAUUUGAUGACAUAUUGUAGAUAGUUGGGGUUGCUGGAUAUAGCGGGUUUCUUUUACUAAAUGUAGGAAUUGUAUGUUUAAAAUUGUUGUGUGUAAUCCCACUACAGUCUAGACUCUACACUACUUCUGUUAUUUUAUUUCUGAUUUGUAUUUCCAUAGGUUUCAGUAAAUUUUUCAGUAAAGGAAUCAACACUUUGUGUGUUUUCAGACCUAAUAUAAUUUUCUUAUUUAUUUUUUUGGGUAAAGAUCAAAAGAACCCUCUUUUGUGGUUUCUCAUUUAAUUUUUAGGUCUGUAGUUCAGUAAUUUGUGCCUCUUUCCAUUCCAUGAAUCCGCUUAUAAAUGUUAAUCUUUACUAUGUGUUGUUCCAUGUUAAUUGGAAAUGAGUAGAUUGAUCUAUUUGAAAUUGUAAAGUUAAAUACAAGUGAUUUUUCCGAGUGAACAAUUAACCAUUCUGAAUUGUUACUAUGCUCAAUUGAUCAUUUCGAUGUCUUUCAGUUGUUGAUAUGUUACUCAAUCCGUAUCGUUCUUACCAUCCUCUGGGUUAGUGUUUGAUAGUCAAGAAAUUUGAUGUCAGAGUAGAUAUGGGGGAAAGAUGAAGUGCUUCAGCAUAAAGACGAGGCCGCUUAAAAAGAAACGAAUCAGUGUGAGGCUAAGACAAUCAUUUGAUAAAAAUUCUAUUAUGGUUUUCAUAAAAUUGUGCUAAGGAAAUGUAAUGGGCGUGGGCUGAAUUAGACUUUGUGCUCAGUGUCAGAUCUUCUGAGGAGGGUAUCUCUCUUCCUUCCGCAGUAUUUGAGACAAUUUUGAUAGAUGGUGUCAGACUCGGCAUGCUAAAAAUUCAAAUAUUGUGAAAUGGUCCAUGGACUGAUACCUCAAGUAUAACUAUAUACAUAUUUCCGCGGAGAAACUUUAUUCGGUAUCCUGCAGUUAAUAAGCCAGCAGGGAUCGUACACUGGCUUAAGCAUAGUAAAUAUGCACAGAAUGUGGAUUGGAUUGGAAUUGUCCGAUAGUUCCCUGGGAACUUGGUGCAGAGCUGGGAAAACCUGUUGCGCAUUUAACAUCGACUAGCUUAGCCAUUCAGAUGACAAGACCAUAGAAGUACCUCACAUGGGAGUAGAAUGGAUACUUAUAUACAUCAAAGAGUUGAAGACCAGAUUAGGUCGCUCGGGCAUGAGUUGUGACAGUGCCAUUACAUUCCUUUGUAGGUGUGAUGGUGUUUUAAAACACCGCAAAUUUGUAGAAAUCAUUUCGAAUUAGUUUUUACCAGAACAACGGUUUUAUUUUUAUUUUUAGAGAUCGUAACUACAAUUGUUUCUCAAAUAGUAAAUUCAAGAUUAUUCAUCA
Papaver somniferum (opium poppy) is the source of this 2403-nucleotide long non-coding RNA. RefSeq lists it as uncharacterized. NCBI's taxonomy places the organism in Eukaryota, Viridiplantae, Streptophyta, Magnoliopsida, Ranunculales, Papaveraceae. The transcript is spliced from 5 exons. The record is from RefSeq and is a predicted model, not a curated record.